UUGGAAUUUUUCUUUAUUUAAAUAAAUGCUUAACACUACAAAAACUGCAGUUUACUACAAGUAACCAAGAGAAUGUGACACCACCUGUGUCCCAAAUCCUUAUGAUCCUUGGGAUACACCAAACGCCAAAUGAAAUUAGGUGGCUUUUUACUGGAGAGGAAAAAAAUCUCUAAAGGGACAGAGCAGAAUAAGUCCUCGCAGGAAUACCGUCCAGAAAGAAAACUGGGACAAGAGCUGC
This is a non-coding RNA of Lonchura striata (white-rumped munia), 238 nucleotides long. NCBI's taxonomy places the organism in Eukaryota, Metazoa, Chordata, Aves, Passeriformes, Estrildidae. The record is from RefSeq and is a predicted model, not a curated record.